This 1007-nucleotide long non-coding RNA is filed under the name Anas platyrhynchos platyrhynchos (common mallard). RNAcentral describes it as "lncRNA (ENSAPLG00000030031.1)". Lineage: Eukaryota; Metazoa; Chordata; Aves; Anseriformes; Anatidae. The record is from RNAcentral.
CACUGGGGGGGAACUGGGAGGGACUGGGGGGGGAACUGGGAGGGACUGGAAGGGAAUUGGGAGCACUGGGAGGGAACUGGGAGUACUGGGAAGGAACUAGGAAGAACUGGAAGGGAACUGGGAGUACUGGGUGGGACUGGAAGGGGAACUGGGGGGCACUGGGAGGGAACUGGGAGCACUGGGAGAGGGAAUUGGGAGCACUGGGAGGGAUUGGGGGGCAGCUGGGAACACCAGCCCAAAAGAACUGGGCAAACUGGGGGCGCAGAAACCGGCCCAUACUGGGAGAGACACCCCCUCCCCUUGCACACGCGCGUGCAAGGCCGUGCACUCACUAGUGGACAGCACCACAGCCACAGCAGGGAGGGGGCAUCCCUUGCACGAGGCCCCCCCACCUGCCACCAACCCCUUGCACGAGGACCCCCUUGCACAAGUCCACCCCCUCCCCUUGCACACGCGCGUGCACUCACUAGCGGGCGGUGCCGUAACCCCCGGGGAAGGUGGCGGCGGCGAUGGCCACCAGGAGGGUGGGGAGCCCGUAGCCGGCCACCAGCACGUGUCGCACGCGCAGCCACGAGGGCUCGAAGACGCGCACGAGCAGCAGGUAGAGGUGCAGCCCCUCCAGGAACAUCCACGUGAAGGCCGCCAGGAAGGAGAAGUGCAACAGCCCCGCCACCACCGCGCACGCCACCUGCGGGCAUUUGCACGAGGGCUCCUUGCACGAGGGUGCCUCGCACAAGGGCGCUUUGCACGAGGGAGCUUUGCACGAGGGUUCCCCGUGCCUGCCGACCACGUGCGAGCCCCCCCAUGCCACUUGCUCACCCCCCCUUCACCACCCUCUGCUCAUUCUGGCCCUUGCACGCCUUUGCACGCCCUUGCACAAGUGCAUCCUGUGCCCUCCUGUGCGCCACCAGCCACGUGCAAGCCCCCCACAGCCCCUCCCCACACCCUCUCCUUCCCCUCCCCUACAUCCCCAACCCAUUCUGGUCCCUGCAGCCCCUCGCAUGCCC